GCCUGGGUGGCUCAGUGGGUUGAGCGUCCGACUUCGGCUCAGAUCACGAUCGCGCGGUCCGUGAGUUCGAGCCCCGCGUCAGGCU
This is a transfer RNA of Felis catus (domestic cat), 85 nucleotides long. It matches the Rfam family "tRNA". Rfam says of the family: Transfer RNA (tRNA) molecules are approximately 80 nucleotides in length. Their secondary structure includes four short double-helical elements and three loops (D, anti-codon, and T loops). Lineage: Eukaryota; Metazoa; Chordata; Mammalia; Carnivora; Felidae. The record is from Rfam.